ACAUGAUUUUUACCACAAAAAAAAAAAAUUGUUCAAAGUGUACACAAAGAUAAAAAUUACCAGACAUGUCUGUAACUGAUUUCAAAUUGGAUUGCAUUGAAGACAACACGGAAGUAAAUCACGAGGCAUAUUUUGACAAUUUCCCGCUCCACUUGAUCGACAAGAUAUUACUUUAUUUGCCGAUUUCAUCCCUCGGAGACAUAGCACUUGUCAGCUCGCUGUUCAAGUCAAGGGUUUGUUCCGUCCUGAGGGAGAUAUUUUUCAGACUGGACUCGGACAUAAACGAAGAAAUCCAGUCUCUCAAGUUGGAGAUAAUGAGGAUCCCAUCGGAGGAGGAGAUCGUUCUACUCAGGCUACCUCUGUUCAGAUCUUUCUUCAUAUGCGAAAUGCUCAGAGUGGAGCUGAAUGUCUUCAAAGUCGCUGACAGGUGCGAGCUGUAUAGCAACCGUCAGUCCAUCCUCGGUAUGGCAAAAAUUCUCAACCUGUUCAACAACUUAUAUGAAGAAUCUACAAAACGAGAGCUGCCUCCUUGGCAUGUUAAUGAUGGAUACACUGUUUCAAUGGCAAAGUUGACCAAAACGUACUUAGAACUUAGGGCGAAUGAAGAGGCGCACGAUGAAUAUUUUGGAUGUCGUAUUCUAGAACUCCUCAAUUUAUUUUUGUACAAGGUUUACAAGAUCAAAGUACGAUAUAUCCCAUUAGCUAACUCAUGCACAAUAGAAGCGCAAUAUGAAAUAUCUCAACAGCAGUUUAUUCAAGCACCGCCUAAGCUAAUUGAUCCAACUUCACAUAUCCCCACAUCCGAAGAUAAAAAAAACAUAAUACGCUUCUUAAUGAACCUGGUGAGGACCAACAGCAGGAUCAUCUUGAGAAAUGAACAAUACUUCCGAGAGUUGGAGGGCACUCGAGGCACGCAAUCGCACGAGUUCUUGUUCGGCACGACGCAGACAACAAUGCCAAGGAGUCGUGUAUUAUCAAGACAGUUUAGAGAGUACCGUGUGCUUCCGAACCCUGUUAGGAAAAUAGAGCUGAAUGACGGCCUGUACGAAAUCGAAGAAGAGUUCAAGACGAGAGAUGUGAUACUGCAUCCCAUUCAAAGCACCUGCGGGAUGCUUGAAGAUAUUCAAAUGCGAUGUAAAAAUGCGUUGCUCGAUGGAUACCUUGCCGAGGCAUGUGGCUGAUAGCUGGCAGAGGCUUAAAGUUGACCUUUUCGCUGGAAAACUCAUAUCCAGCCCACUUUGGUCAGUUCUGGCCCAUCAUCUUCGCAAUGACUAUACCCCAUCAGGGACUAGAAUCGGUGGGAAUAACAUUCAAAUGCCAAACUCACUGAACUGUGUAAUGAACUUAAGGAGUACUUUUCUCCACAGAGAUGCGGACUUGAUUCUGAGAUUUCAAGAGCCUUAAAUAGUCUGCAAAUGAAGAGAAAAAAUCAACUGGACAAAUACAAUACAAAACCAUUAUUAUUUUAUCUUUUA
This 1475-nucleotide unclassified non-coding RNA is filed under the name Cimex lectularius (bed bug). RNAcentral describes it as "uncharacterized LOC106661478, transcript variant X1". Lineage: Eukaryota; Metazoa; Arthropoda; Insecta; Hemiptera; Cimicidae. The record is from RNAcentral.